This 423-nucleotide ribosomal RNA is filed under the name uncultured bacterium. RNAcentral describes it as "bacterial SSU rRNA". It matches the Rfam family "Bacterial small subunit ribosomal RNA", at positions 358 to 772 of the family's 1533-position model. The record is from RNAcentral.
GGAAUUGUUCGCAAUGGGCGCAAGCCUGACGACGCAACGCCGCGUGGAGGAUGAAGGUCUUCGGAUUGUAAACUCCUGUUGACCGGGAAGAAUUUCUCCGGGGCCACUACCCCUGGAGGUUGACGGUACCGGUUGAGGAAGCCCCGGCUAACUCGGUGCCAGCAGCCGCGGUAAUACAGAGGGGGCAAGUGUUGUUCGGAAUUACUGGGCGUAAAGGGCGCGUAGGCGGCCGACUAAGUCAGACGUGAAAUCCCCAGGCUCAACCUGGGAACUGCGUCUGAUACUGGAUGGCUCGAAUCCGGGAGAGGGAUGUGGAAUUCCAGGUGUAGCGGUGAAAUGCGUAGAUAUCUGGAGGAACACCGGUGGCGAAGGCGGCAUCCUGGACCGGUAUUGACGCUGAGGCGCGAAAGCCAGGGGAGCAAA